GCAGUGGUGGCUCAGUGGUAGAACUCUUGCCUUCCGUGUGGGAGAUCCGGGUUCGAUUCCCGGACAAUGUA
RNAcentral lists this transfer RNA (71 nucleotides) under Loxodonta africana (African savanna elephant). It matches the Rfam family "tRNA". From Rfam's summary of the family: Transfer RNA (tRNA) molecules are approximately 80 nucleotides in length. Lineage: Eukaryota; Metazoa; Chordata; Mammalia; Proboscidea; Elephantidae. The record is from Rfam by way of RNAcentral.